This is a long non-coding RNA of Girardinichthys multiradiatus, 1311 nucleotides long. RefSeq lists it as uncharacterized. The transcript is spliced from 2 exons. Lineage: Eukaryota; Metazoa; Chordata; Actinopteri; Cyprinodontiformes; Goodeidae. The record is from RefSeq and is a predicted model, not a curated record.
GAAACCUGCACCUGGGGAGGCACUUUAAGUGUCUCCAUGCACUUCUGCAUGUGUGUGCCUGCUGCGUAUGAAAUGGAGAUCAAAAUAAUUGCUCUUCAGGAACUCUCAGUGGGACAAUCUGGAGGUCAGAUUCCUUGUUCAAACUGGAUUACCUUCUAAAGGAAAAGUCUGAAUCUCCACAAAGCCACGCUGAUAGAGUGAGGCAUUAGGAUUUGGAGACAGAGAAAAGUGAAUCACCGUCUUUUCAUUUUAAAGCCGUAAUUUUCUUCAGACUUCCUGUGCUCUGCUUGCCCUUUUUCUGUGUAGCACUCACUUCAAAGUACACUAAAACAACCACACAUCCCGAAGGCUCGGUUAAGGCCUCAUUUGCUACCUAACUUGUGUUUUUAACUCAUAAAUAAAUCAGAUUAUCUUCUCCAAGCUGAACUCCUGUUGAUGACGUCAGGAAUGUUUACCGGAAACGAUGCAGCUGCUGUUCUUGUCCACUAGAUGGAGACAUCCCAUCAGCUUCACGGUGCAGCAGAGGAAGCUCAUCUUCCUCAGAUGAUUAAUGAUGAAUCCACGUCACAUCUGAUCGGGGCGGAGCCAUCCUAGUGGGAGGAGCUAAUAAUGACACACCUGUUGUUCCUGUUCAGACAGGACAGUCUGCUGAUGUCUCCGAUGGGACAAACUGGAGGACUUAUCUGCUUCUCAGCCUUGUGUCUGGAGGACACAAGCCCUGGGUUCUGGUUCUGGAGUGAUCCAUAAUCUCUGCUUCAAAGAGCUGUCCUCAGUGAGCUGCAUGGACUCUGCAGGGAAACCAUCAUUCUACCCUGCAUCUGAGAAGAAGAUGAAGAUCUACCAGAGAAGGUUAACAUCUCCAGGAAGUUAAAGGUGAGAGGAACAUGUUGGACAUCAAGGAUGGUCUACAGGACUUUUCUCAUCUGGACCAGAAGUUCAGGAGGACAACCAGAACUGAAACAUUCCCAUCAUGAUGAAGAAACUCAGGUCAGAGGAUGUUGACACAGGCAGGUGUUUCCUCAGAGAAGGUCCAGACUGGUGCUGGGACAAGUGAGCCAUCAAGCCCAGUAGAGACUGGUUCCCUCCAUCCAUGUGUGUAUUUCUGUACCAGCAUGUGUUAAUCUGAACGUAGCAUUAAUAGGUGAGAGAGCUGCACAGUCAUGGUUUCAUGUAACAGAGUCCAUGAAGGAGGUUCCUGAUGGAGGAGAACCUGCUGCUGAGUCAGCAUGAAGUUUAUUUGUUGCUGUUUAUGAAGCUGGAAUCACAAAUAUGUAAACCAGGAGCUAGAAAUAAAACCAGAGGAGAAACUUU